GAUGAACGCUGGCGGCGUGCCUAAUACAUGCAAGUCGAGCGAACAGACGAGGAGCUUGCUCCUCUGACGUUAGCGGCGGACGGGUGAGUAACACGUGGAUAACCUACCUAUAAGACUGGGAUAACUUCGGGAAACCGGAGCUAAUACCGGAUAAUAUAUUGAACCGCAUGGUUCAAUGGUGAAAGACGGUUUUGCUGUCACUUAUAGAUGGAUCCGCGCCGCAUUAGCUAGUUGGUAAGGUAACGGCUUACCAAGGCAACGACGCGUAGCCGACCUGAGAGGGUGAUCGGCCACACUGGAACUGAGACACGGUCCAGACUCCUACGGGAGGCAGCAGUAGGGAAUCUUCCGCAAUGGGCGAAAGCCUGACGGAGCAACGCCGCGUGAGUGAUGAAGGUCUUCGGAUCGUAAAACUCUGUUAUUAGGGAAGAACAAAUGUGUAAGUAACUAUGCACGUCUUGACGGUACCUAAUCAGAAAGCCACGGCUAACUACGUG
This 497-nucleotide ribosomal RNA is filed under the name uncultured bacterium. RNAcentral describes it as "partial 16S ribosomal RNA". It matches the Rfam family "Bacterial small subunit ribosomal RNA", at positions 28 to 507 of the family's 1533-position model. The record is from RNAcentral.